UACGUAGGGUGCGAGCGUUGUCCGGAUUUAUUGGGCGUAAAGGGCUCGUAGGCGGCGUGUCGCGUCGGGAGUGAAAGCCCGUUGCUUAACGGCGGGUUGGCUUUCGGUACGGGCAUGCUGGAGUGCGGCAGGGGAGACUGGAAUUCCUGGUGUAGCGGUGAAAUGCGCAGAUAUCAGGAGGAACACCGGUGGCGAAGGCGGGUCUCUGGGCAGUAACUGACGCUGAGGAGCGAAAGCGUGGGGAGCGAACAGG
This 253-nucleotide ribosomal RNA is filed under the name uncultured bacterium. RNAcentral describes it as "partial 16S ribosomal RNA". It matches the Rfam family "Bacterial small subunit ribosomal RNA", at positions 524 to 776 of the family's 1533-position model. The record is from RNAcentral.